AAUUUGAAGAAGAUAUUCUUGGAAUUGGUCCUUGUCUAUGUUCCUUGGAACAGGCCGUCACAGAGGGUGAGAAUCCCGUGCGACAAGGAAUUCUUUUCUUUAUAAGAUGUCUUCGAAGAGUCGAGUUGUUUGGGAAUGCAGCUCAAAGUGGGUGGUAAAUUCCAUCUAAAGCUAAAUAUUGGCGAGAGACCGAUAGCGAACAAGUACUGUGAAGGAAAGAUGAAAAGAACUUUGAAAAGAGAGUGAAAAAGUACGUGAAAUUGUUGAAAGGGAAGGGUAUUCGAUCAGACUGGUAUUUAAUUAUCGCUACUCCUUGUGGGUGGUGCUCUAAUUUCUUACUGGGCCAACAUCAGUUUUGGUGGUAAGAUAAUCGCAGUUGAAUGUGGCUCCUCGGAGUGUUAUAGCUUCUGUUGAUGUUACCUACCGGGACUGAGGUCUGCGACUUUGUCUAGGAUGUUGGCGUAAUGAUCCAAUACCGCCCGUCUUGAAACACGGACC
This 498-nucleotide ribosomal RNA is filed under the name [Candida] sp. RNAcentral's name for it is "LSU rRNA". It matches the Rfam family "Eukaryotic large subunit ribosomal RNA", at positions 147 to 667 of the family's 3401-position model. Lineage: Eukaryota; Fungi; Ascomycota; Saccharomycetes; Saccharomycetales. The record is from RNAcentral.